AGUGAACGCUGGCGGUAGGCCUAACACAUGCAAGCCGAACGGCAGCACAGUAAGAGCUUGCUCUUACGGGUGGCGAGUGGCGGACGGGUGAGGAAUACAUCGGAAUCUACUUUUUCGUGGGGGAUAACGUAGGGAAACUUACGCUAAUACCGCAUACGACCUACGGGUGAAAGCAGGGGAUCUUCGGACCUUGCGCGAUUGAAUGAGCCGAUGUCGGAUUAGCUAGUUGGCGGGGUAAAGGCCCAUCAAGGCGACGAUCCGUAGCUGGUCUGAGAGGAUGAUCAGCCACACUGGAACUGAGACACGGUCCAGACUCCUACGGGAGGCAGCAGUGGGGAAUAUUGGACAAUGGGCGCAAGCCUGAUCCAGCCAUACCGCGUGGGUGAAGAAGGCCUUCGGGUUGUAAAGCCCUUUUGUUGGGAAAGAAAAGCAGCAGGUUAAUACCCCGCUGUUCUGACGGUACCCAAAGAAUAAGCACCGGCUAACUUCGUG
This 492-nucleotide ribosomal RNA is filed under the name uncultured bacterium. RNAcentral's name for it is "partial 16S ribosomal RNA". It matches the Rfam family "Bacterial small subunit ribosomal RNA", at positions 29 to 507 of the family's 1533-position model. The record is from RNAcentral.